CGGCUACCCGACGCCGACGCCGAAGCCGCCGGCCAAGGGGCCCAAGCCGGAGAAGCCCCCGACCAAGGGCCACGGCCACAAGCCGGAGAAGCCGCCCAAGGAGCACAAGCCGACUCCGCCCACCUACACCCCGAGCCCCAAGCCCACGCCGCCGCCGGCUACUCCCAAGCCGACGCCGCCCACCUACACGCCGAGCCCUAAGCCCAAGUCGCCGGUCUACCCUCCCCCGCCGAAAGCCAGUACUCCUCCGACCUACACCCCGAGCCCCAAGCCUCCGGCGACCAAGCCGCCUACCUACCCGACCCCCAAGCCACCAGCUACCAAGCCUCCGACACCUCCUGUGUACACUCCGAGCCCCAAACCACCGGUUACAAAGCCUCCUACACCCAAGCCGACCCCGCCGGUGUACACGCCGAACCCCAAGCCACCGGUUACCAAGCCUCCGACACACACGCCGAGCCCCAAGCCUCCGACAUCCAAGCCGACUCCGCCGGUGUACACACCGAGCCCCAAGCCACCGAAGCCGUCCCCGCCGACGUACACGCCGACCCCGAAGCCACCGGCUACCAAGCCGCCCACCUCAACUCCGACGCACCCUAAGCCGACGCCGCACACGCCUAUCCCCAAGCCCACGCCGCCAACCUACAAGCCGGCACCGAAGCCGACGCCGCCGGCGCCCACCCCGCCGAC
RNAcentral lists this long non-coding RNA (690 nucleotides) under Sorghum bicolor (sorghum). RNAcentral describes it as "long non-coding RNA (SBIC_LNC011143)". The record is from RNAcentral. Lineage: Eukaryota; Viridiplantae; Streptophyta; Magnoliopsida; Poales; Poaceae.